AAUGGCCUAACGGCUGAACCAGCAAUUUGGAAGAACGUAUAGUAAUAUCUAGUUACAUUGGUCGUAAUAUCGACAAUGUCGAAUAAAGUUCUAGAUAAAUUUAUGAUAAUGACAUUAUUUAUCUAUGUGUCUUGACCAAACUACGUGCCAGCAGUCGCGGUAAGACGUUAAAGACUAGCGUUAUUCAUAUUUAUUGGGUUUAAAGGGUACCUAGACGGUAAAUAAAGCCUUUAGGUACUAAUUUACUAGAGUUACUUACGAGGGAGCAUUAAAGUACUGAUGGUGUAGAGAUAAAAUUCUGUAAUACCUUUUUUCUUAGGAAAGUAACGGCACAGAUAUAGGCGAAAGCAUCUCCUUAUGUGAUAGCUUUGUAUAGCAAAAAGGAUUAGAUACCCUUGUAGUCAAAGCAGAAAAUGAUGAGUGUCAUAGAUUAAUUUAUUCUAUAAAUGAAAGUGUAAGCACUCCACCUCAAGAGUAAUUUGGCAACAUUGGAACUGAAAUCAUUAGACCGUUUCUGAAACCAGCAGUGAAGUAUGUUGUUUAAUUUGAUAAUCCGCAAAAAACCUUACCAUGAAUAUUUACAAGCGUUGCACGGCUGUCUUCAGUUAAUGUCGCGAGACUAUGGUUGGCUCCAUUAAAUUAACGUAAACCCUUGCUUUAUUUUUAAAUAAAGUAGUUCUCCACUAUAUUGGAUAAGAUAACAGGGACUAAGACAAGUCAUCAUGGCCUAAAUGUU
RNAcentral lists this ribosomal RNA (736 nucleotides) under Fellhaneropsis vezdae. RNAcentral describes it as "SSU rRNA". It matches the Rfam family "Bacterial small subunit ribosomal RNA", at positions 370 to 1208 of the family's 1533-position model. Lineage: Eukaryota; Fungi; Ascomycota; Lecanoromycetes; Lecanorales; Pilocarpaceae. The record is from RNAcentral.